Long non-coding RNA from Gopherus flavomarginatus (Mexican gopher tortoise), 1651 nucleotides. RefSeq lists it as uncharacterized. The transcript has 4 exons. NCBI's taxonomy places the organism in Eukaryota, Metazoa, Chordata, Testudines, Testudinidae. The record is from RefSeq and is a predicted model, not a curated record.
GCUCAGUCCCCCCGCGCCAUGCGGCUGCAGCGCUGUUCAGGGACGCUUGUGGAUGCGCGCGCUGAGGCGCUGGGAGGCGGGGAUAUGCUUUCCCAGUGUAUGAGGUUGUUCCAAGCUCUUUAGGAGUUAGACCAGAAGACAGGAGGAAGAUCAUCCUCACUGGCCAGAUAGAAUUCAAUCUCCUGAUAUAUGGGCCAACUGCCAGAAAAGUGAAGAGUGGAACCAGCUGACAAUCGCUUCAUGCCUGAAGAGAAGAAAGUUUCAGCAUGAAAGCAAAGGAAGCAAAGCAUUAAAGGAGCUGGAAAAUAAGGGUUUGCAUAUCCUUUGGAUCUAGCUGGGACAAUGAAAAGGGGAAGAGAAAGUAACAGGUCUGUGGACUGUAGCCACUUUCUCCAACCCUGCAGAAGCCCCAUCCACAAGGAUCUGUUACUUGGGAGGAGGCCAGUCAACAUGCCAACUUGCACAGAAUUCUAAGUGCAGUCCUUCCAGUGCUGUAAAGAAAGGGAUGAUCUACUCUUUGGGCCACAGUAUGUACAGAAGGCAGUGUGUGCCAGCGGAAGGACAUUGAACUGGGAGUCAGAAGACCUUGACUUCAAAAUCUGGACCGAAACUUAGAUUGUGAAUUUUGUUUCUUAGGCCUCUCUCUAAUUAGUAUUGAGGAUUUUCCAGGCUCCUAGCCAAAUGAAUAUUUUAUAAAGAUCAUAUAUAUCCAUCCAAAGGGUCCACACAGUAACAAUCAUUUGGAGGUAUUAUGUGAUACAGCCCAAUCAAUAUUCCAACAACAUACUGAUGAUAACAAAAGAUGUAGAAUUAGAAAACUAAAUACAAGAGUAUAAAGUUCAAAGUUUGUUCUCUAGGUUAUAUCAUGGUAUAACUCCUAAAUGUUACAAAUAUACCUUAUUUCCUCCCACACCCUAAAAGUAUGUUUACAAAAAUCAGAAUUUGUUUCCUGUGUGUAUUGUUUUCCUAAUUAAAUUUGAAGGAGUAAAGAUUUCUUCCAUAUGGGCUACGUUUUUCCUUAAAUAGAGCAUCUGUUUUGGGUUGGGUACUUUAUGACAGAGGUUCUCAACCUUUCCAGACUACUAUACCCCUUUCAGGGGUCUGAUUUGUCUUGUGUAUUCCCAAGUUUCACCUCACUUAAAAACUACUUGCUUACAAAAUCAGACAUAAAAAUACAAAAGUGUCACAGCAUGCUAUUACUGAAAUAUUGCUCACUGUCUCAUUAAUUAUAAAACCAGUCAAUUGGAAUAUAAAUAUUGCACUUACAUUUCAGUGUAUAGUAUAUUGAGCAGUAUAAACAAGUCAUUGUCUGAAUGAAAUUUUAGUUUGCCCUAACUUUGCUAAUGCUUUUUAUGUAGCCUGUUGUAAAAUUAGGCAAAUAUCUAGAUGAGCUGAUGUAUCCCUUGGAAGACCUCUGCAUAUCCCCAGGUUGAGCACCACUGCCUUUUGGAACCUUCAUGUUAUUCAGCGGCUACUUGUGUACCAAUUUAAUGUUGCUUUCAUUACCCUCAUCUCCUCUCUCACUCUUCCAGCCUUUUGUUUCUCCCUUGUAUCAUGUCUCAAAUUAUAUUGUCAGCUUUUGUGGGAGGGCUGACUCUUACUGUGUCUUUGUACAGGGCAGGCCCAAUGGGAUCCUGAUCCUGACUGGAGG